AUAGAAACUGCUCCAUACUUGAUACCUAUUAUCGUUACAACCAUCUUUAAUAUCAGGUUCUUGUAAAUAACAAUGGAAUUGGUUGGCUGUACUGUUUCAGAGAGUAACAGUGCUCCCUUGACUAAAAGAAAGAAGAUUGGUUGUGUAGUUUCCUCAGCAAGAAUGUGGACUUGAUAACUCCACCUUUUAGAAUAAAAGGAGAUCCGGUGCGGUGGCUGAUGCCUUUGAUCCCAGCACUUCAGGAGGCUGAGGUGGGAGGAUCGCAUGAGCCCAGGAGUUGGAGACCAGCCUGGGCAACAUAGUGAUACCCUGUUUUUACAAAAAAAUAAAAAUUAGCCUGGUGUGGUGUCAUGUACCUGUGGUCCCAGCUGCUUGGGAGGCUGAGGUGGGAGGAUCACUUGAGCCCAGGAGGUCAAUGCUGCAGUGAGCUGUGCUUGCGCCACUGCACUCCAGCCUGGGCAACAGAGCAAGGCCUUGUCUCAAAAAAAAAAAAAGUGUGUACAUAUAUAUACACACAUACAUAUGUAUCUAUAUAUGUAUGUACAUAUAUACACAUAUAUAGGUGUAUGUAUAUAUAUAAAAUAAGAAUAAAAGAAGGAAAAAAUGAGAGUGUGGAGUAGGUGAGUGAGUAAGAGCUUUCCAAAGGAAUAGCUAAGAAAAAGAGAAUGGGAAGGAGACUUCAAAAUGCAGGGAAACAGCCUACUAACAUGCCUAAUCUCUCAUGUGAAAUCUAGAGUAAAUCAGUAAAUAAUAAUAGCUAAGAUUUAUUGGUGCUAGAUAUAUGCCAAGCACUAGUCUAAACUUUUUUCAUGUUUGAGGAUUAUACCUGGACAUUGACUGAUGUAAAGACUAAAUGAAUUAAUACAUAUAAAGUGUUUAGAACAGGGCCUACCACAUAUAAGUGCUAAAUUUUGCUAUUAUUAUUAUUUUAACUAUAAUCUCCACGGCAACCCUAUGAAGUAGGUACUAACAUCAUCCCCAUUUUACAGUAUCUUAGGCUGGUUUCCCUAGAAGCCAAUCCUGAGAUGGGAUUUAGACCCUGUAAUUUAUCGAGGGAGGGCUCUUUAGGAGGAACCCAUAGGGAGAGAGUGAAACAGGAUAGGGAAGGGGAAACAACCAAGAAAAACGGAUCUUAGGAAAUCCUAGCCUUGAUCUGCUCUAUUGAGGGAGGGCUCUGGAAUCUAGAGCAUAAACCAAACUGCAGAAUUAGCCCCAUCUUACACAAAGGUGUUUGUACCUUUGUAUCAGGAUAAAGUGGGGCGUAACUGCACCCCCCCAAGUGUGGCUGCCUUCCCUAGUGUAGACUCUCCAGAGAAAAAGGCACCUGUGAGCUCUAGCAGCCAACCUCACAACAGUGGAGAGACAGGUGUACUGGCCAGUAAAGCGUAUCCAAACAGGGCACCUAACAUAGCAUCCACCAAGGCUAGUAAAUGGUAGAACCAGUCUGUCUCAGGAGCCAUGCUUUUACUUUCUCUAUAUAUACUGACUUUUAAAAAUUCAAAAGGAAAAUGACAAAUGGAGACCUAUGUUACUGAUAAAGAGUUAAUACUAAAUACUUAGUAUUUAAAUGAAAUUACCUUACAGUCUAACCUCUUACAAUGAAAUAACCUCAAAGAAAAAAAGACAACAACCCAAUAGGGCAAAGGACAAGGACCA
This 1656-nucleotide long non-coding RNA is filed under the name Homo sapiens (human). Its description in RNAcentral is "HSALNT0294528". Lineage: Eukaryota; Metazoa; Chordata; Mammalia; Primates; Hominidae. The record is from RNAcentral.